Molecule: ribosomal RNA, 481 nt
Filed under: uncultured bacterium
Lineage: Bacteria
Description: partial 16S ribosomal RNA
Rfam family: Bacterial small subunit ribosomal RNA
Source: RNAcentral
GAUGAACGCUGGCGGCGUGCUUAACACAUGCAAGUCGAACGAAGCACUUUAUUUGAUUUCCUUCGGGACUGAUUAUUUUGUGACUGAGUGGCGGACGGGUGAGUAACGCGUGGGUAACCUGCCUUGUACAGGGGGAUAACAGUUGGAAACGGCUGCUAAUACCGCAUAAGCGCACAGCAUCGCAUGAUGCAGUGUGAAAAACUCCGGUGGUAUAAGAUGGACCCGCGUUGGAUUAGCUAGUUGGUGAGGUAACGGCCCACCAAGGCGACGAUCCAUAGCCGAACUGAGAGGGUGACCGGCAACAUUGGGACUGAGACACGGCCCAAACUCCUACGGGAGGCAGCAGUGGGGAAUAUUGCACAAUGGGCGAAAGCCUGAUGCAGCGACGCCGCGUGAGCGAAGAAGUAUUUCGGUAUGUAAAGCUCUAUCAGCAGGGAAGAUAAUGACGGUACCUGACUAAGAAGCACCGGCUAAAUACGUG